Clupea harengus (Atlantic herring) is the source of this 1036-nucleotide long non-coding RNA. Lineage: Eukaryota; Metazoa; Chordata; Actinopteri; Clupeiformes; Clupeidae. The record is from Ensembl.
AACAGUGGUUAACAGUCGGGAAAUUAAGGUGAUAAAAAUGUUUUGAAAAUUCUCUUGCCAAGCUUUGCUCUGUGUGUUUUCCCCACUCCCCUCCUCUUUUCCCUAUCUCAUGAUACCUUUCAUUAUAUCAAUUAUUUGUGCAUCUCACUUAUUUAUUUCAGUGUCACAGGGAACAGUGCUGAUCUUGGCGAUGACUAGCCUGUGCAUUGUCCUGGCUGUCGUGUUAGUACUCUGUCUCAUCUGGACAUGCCGUAUGUGAUAUUCAUGACAUUUAAUUCAUAGAAUAGAUCUAGGAAAACACAUUCAUGCUAAAGGCAACACAUUUGCAACUUUUUGAGGUCUGUUUUAUAAGCAAUCAUCUUGAAGUAAAGACUCCUGUCAUUCCCACUAGUUGCCCAGGCUAUACACUGUGUAGUUCGGUGGUCUGGGACAGACAGAACGACACAGACACAGAUCGACAUUGCCCUCUAUAUCUCCAAAAGUCACCCGCUGGCACAUUAGCAAGCUUUUAUUUGUGUCAGAUGUGCUGUUGUUAGUGUUAUUGUUUGCAUGUCUCAGGAGUUAGCUUGCUAGUUUUAGACCAAAACAUCUUACUUCUGUAUUAAAAGAAAGAUACAGCCUUAUUUACUCUCUGAUAGGCACAUCUUAUUUUCUCUUUCAGGGAAACAUAAACAACAGAGGUAAGAUCAUAUGUGUUUUAUUCUUUCAGAUAACACGUUUAUCGUUUUAAAGGAGCAUAAGCAGCAACUGAUUUCCCGUGUAUCUUACAAACAGUUCAAAGGGUACUCUAGGCAGGACCAGACAGAAGAAUCACCCGGACAUUAUGCCUGCACAUAGUACAAUUACAACUGUUAAUGACACUGUUGAAACCUACACCAUGAUCACCUCAACACCCCUGACUGUAGCUCCAGAUGUUGACAAAAGGGAAGACAUUUUCUCUGAACAGGAUGAUGUGAGUGCACUAUGUGCAAAGUACUGUGCUUUGGAUGUAUAGCAAAAAUCAAUAGCUUUUCAUUCAGAUUAAUUUACGGGGCCA